Molecule: ribosomal RNA, 477 nt
Filed under: uncultured bacterium
Lineage: Bacteria
Description: bacterial SSU rRNA
Rfam family: Bacterial small subunit ribosomal RNA
Source: RNAcentral
UUCGCAAUGCCCGAAAGGGUGACGAAGCGACGCCGCGUGUGGGAAGAAGGCCUUCGGGUUGUAAACCACUGUUGGGAGUUAGGAAGUGUGGAGGUGUUAAUAGCGCUUUCUCUUGACUAAAGCUCCAGAGGAAGCCACGGCUAACUCUGUGCCAGCAGCCGCGGUAAUACAGAGGCGGCAAGCGUUGUUCGGAAUUAUUGGGCGUAAAGAGCACGUAGGCGGCUCUGCAAGUCAGCUGUGAAAGCCUUCUGCCUAACGGAAGAACGGCAGUUGAAACUACAGGGCUUGAGUGCGGGAGGGGAGAGUGGAACUUCUGGUGGAGCGGUGAAAUGCGUAGAUAUCAGAAGGAACGCCGGCGGCGAAAGCGGCUCUCUGGUCCGUAACUGACGCUGAGUGUGCGAAAGCUAGGGGAGCAAACGGGAUUAGAUACCCCGGUAGUCCUAGCCGUAAACGAUGGGCACUAAGUAGAGGGGUUUU